Long non-coding RNA from Vicia villosa (hairy vetch), 668 nucleotides. RefSeq lists it as uncharacterized. The transcript is spliced from 4 exons. NCBI's taxonomy places the organism in Eukaryota, Viridiplantae, Streptophyta, Magnoliopsida, Fabales, Fabaceae. The record is from RefSeq and is a predicted model, not a curated record.
CUUCUGCUCUUUUGACCGUUUUCUUCUCAAUCUUGCUUAUGAAAGCUCUUCUGGAUUUGAAAUUUCGUCACUGUUCUUCUUCUGAGCGUGUGGUGCGUUAGUUAUUGUAUCUCUUCCAUGGUUGUGUGCUGUUGUGUGCAAUUCUUUUGUCACAAAUCAAAAUCAAACUUCAACCAUGGAGUGGAGUCAGUGGUUGAAGCAUUUGAGAGACUUGGAACCAGAAGGGAGUUUAAAAGGUCAAUCAAUUCAUUGAAGUUCGACCUGGAAUAGUUGUUAAAGAUGAGAGUGGAAACAUCUUGGAGGCCUAAUUGGUGUUGGAACAACCAUGGAUACCACUUUAACUCGUGCUGACAGGUAAACUAUUUCUUGCUUCGACGACUUCUUGGUAUUAGAACUAAAGGUUCGGAGAGACAAGAAAAAGUCGCAAAGCUGGCAAAAGGAGAGAUGCUUAUGUUGAACAUAGGAUCAAUGUUAACAGGUCCCGGAGUCGUUGAUGUGAAGAAUGACUUGGCGAAAUUGCAACUUACUUCCCCUGUGUGCACCAGCACGACAUGUUUUCGAAUUUGAUAUGUUUUUCGGUAUUUUGUACUACAUGAUUAUGGAACUUGCUUUUUUUUAUAUCAUGAUGCUUAUUUGAUAUUAAAUGUUUUUGAUUGGAAUUAAUUUUA